AAGGAGCACAUGGCCGGUUGCGAGCGAAUGUCUCGCACGGUUGCUCAUGGGUGGAACGUUGACUAUUCGGCACACACGGUUGGGAUCUGCCAGUACUGCCUCUCGGGGCGUGGAAGACAGGGACCGCUUGGUGUGUCGGGCACGUUGUUGGGUCCUGAGGGAACGGCUUGCCGUUGUCUCUUGGAUGCCGGCUCCACUGGACGGGUGUGUUUCGCUGCCCGAUGGUGGAUGUCUGGUCGUUGUUUGAGAACUGCACAGUGGACGCGAGCAUCUGU
RNAcentral lists this unclassified non-coding RNA (275 nucleotides) under Kitasatospora phosalacinea. RNAcentral's name for it is "partial 16S-23S ribosomal RNA internal spacer". The record is from RNAcentral. Lineage: Bacteria; Bacillati; Actinomycetota; Actinomycetes; Kitasatosporales; Streptomycetaceae.